RNAcentral lists this transfer RNA (73 nucleotides) under Neorhizobium galegae bv. orientalis str. HAMBI 540. It matches the Rfam family "tRNA". Rfam says of the family: Transfer RNA (tRNA) molecules are approximately 80 nucleotides in length. Their secondary structure includes four short double-helical elements and three loops (D, anti-codon, and T loops). Further hydrogen bonds mediate the characteristic L-shaped molecular structure. tRNAs have two regions of fundamental functional importance: the anti-codon, which is responsible for specific mRNA codon recognition, and the 3' end, to which the tRNAs corresponding amino acid is attached (by aminoacyl-tRNA synthetases). tRNAs cope with the degeneracy of the genetic code in two manners: having more than one tRNA (with a specific anti-codon) for a particular amino acid; and 'wobble' base-pairing, i.e. permitting non-standard base-pairing at the 3rd anti-codon position. The record is from Rfam by way of RNAcentral. RNAcentral also lists the same sequence under 1 other name. Lineage: Bacteria; Pseudomonadati; Pseudomonadota; Alphaproteobacteria; Hyphomicrobiales; Rhizobiaceae.
AGGGGUGUAGCUCAGUUGGUAGAGCGGCGGUCUCCAAAACCGCAGGUCGUCGGUUCAAGCCCGGCCGCCCCUG